RNAcentral lists this long non-coding RNA (274 nucleotides) under Elaeis guineensis (African oil palm). RNAcentral describes it as "long non-coding RNA (EGUI_LNC068605)". Lineage: Eukaryota; Viridiplantae; Streptophyta; Magnoliopsida; Arecales; Arecaceae. The record is from RNAcentral.
ACUAUCCAUGCCCCAUUCAUAUUAUAUAUUAAAGUCAUGAUCUAAUUUUUGGUAUUAGAUUAGUCACAAUCAUGCUCCAGCAUGUGACAAGUCAAAAAUAUUAUCGCACAAUAGGUACCAUCCCACAUGGGACCUACGAAUUAGGAUGCUAUAUACUCGGAUCACAACCUUCUUCUGCACAACUUCUCCUUACAGAAUCAACCAAACAUCAAAGGAAGGUCAUAUAGUGGGUAUUAGCAACUUAGAACUUGUCACACUCCAAACUCAGCACCCA